This is a long non-coding RNA of Crotalus tigris (Tiger rattlesnake), 5235 nucleotides long. RefSeq lists it as uncharacterized. Lineage: Eukaryota; Metazoa; Chordata; Lepidosauria; Squamata; Viperidae. The transcript has 2 exons. The record is from RefSeq and is a predicted model, not a curated record.
CUGUUGCGAGAAUCCAAGUUCGGCAUAAUUUCUUUUUAUUAAGAAAAAAAAUGAACAAAAUACAUUCUCUCUCCGUAUAUACAUUACAUACAGCAAAAUUCUACAUUGGGAAUUGCUCUUCUCUCCCCAAAGUCACUCUUGCAUACAUCUUCAACCUGGCGGAACAAUCGUACAUCCGAAAGAUGCGGGGCCGAGAAGCGGAAAGCCACGGGAAAGGACAUCCGAAAAUGCCCACAGCGGUGAGCGCGGCAGGAAAACGCUUCGCACGUGUGCGCCGAGUGGGUGGCAAAUCAAAAAGAGCCGGAAGGAGCUUUGUUGACAAAAGUGGAGACGACAACCCAUAAACACAAUCUGUUGGGCCUAAUGGUUAUCCCACAAGCACGUUGUGUUAAAUCGGGGGGGGGGGUCCUUCAAACUUGGCCUUUUGAUGCCUUGUGGACUUCAACUCCCAGCCUGGCUGAGGAAUUCUGGGAAUUGAAGUCCACAAGUCAUCAAAAGGCCCAAGUUUGAAGACCCCCCUGUGUUAAAUGGCUAUGCACACUUUGGUAUGAUUUACACCAGGGGUCUCCAAACCUGGCCACUUUAAAGAUUCGUGGGCUGGGGAGUCUAUCAGGCGUUCUCAAUAAGACUUGUGGACUUCAACUCCCAGAAUUCCUGAGGAAUCCUGAGGAAUUCUGGGAGUUGAAGUCCACAAGUCUUAAAGUUGCCAAGGUUGAGAACCCCUGCUUUAAAUGGUCAAGUCUCGAGAGUCCUGCUUUACACAAUUUGGCUGAAUUAUAUUUUUAGCUCAUCCUAGAGGGGACCAAAUAGCUUUUGAUUCCUUUGGUAUGAAAAUGCCUUUGGCUCGCCCUGCCUCUAAUCUUUCUUUUUUUUAAAUAAAAAUAAAAGAAUUAACUUCCCACGCCUUCCUCCGUCACUCGUGAUCCUUCAAAUUGCUUCUCCCACCUGAGACGCUCACAUCACGUGGCCGGCAGGACCAAGAACUGAGGCUUAUGUCAAACAUAAACCAAUCAAAACCCGCUUCUAAAAUAUCUCUCUCUCUCUCUCUCUCUCUCUCUCUCUCUCACACACACACACACACACACACACUCUUUGAAGAGCACCUCUCUUCUUUCCUUUCAGUCCUGGAGAAGACCAUCAAGUCAAUUUACUGAAUUCCACCCUUUGCCACUUUUCCCCAAAGCAACGUCCAGAUCAGCAGCUUCGGACAGAUUUAUAUUGCUUUCUCACCAUCUUUCCCCAGAGCAUCUGCGGGGGCUUUUAAUUUUGGGAAAAGAAAAUUGAGAAUUCAGAGGGUGGAUUUCCUCGCUGGUCCCUGGAACUUCAGGUUCCCACGUGUUCCUGAGCUUCCCUAAUCAAACGCAACAGCCAUGAAAUUUCACUUGUCUUAAAAAACAUUUUCUGGUUGAGCCAACGGAACAAGUCGACCCCAAUCAACUCUAUGGGUCUUUCUGACGCCGGAACCACGCCAAUAAAGGUGCUACGAACUCGUGUCUUUUUAAAGAGGGAACAGCUCAGUUUUCAGCAUGACACCUGUCAGUCUUUCGGGACUAUCAAAAUUCUGAGCCAAGCUCUAAAUGGCAUAAAGUUAGGAAAAGGGAAAAGGGGGGGGGGGAAGCUGAAUGUAUCAAUCGGUAAUGAUCAAACAGUUGCAACUUCUCUUAUUGAACUGAACCGCUAGGUCUACAUCACAAUUACAGGAUGGUGUGGAAAAUAAACUUGGUUUUCUCCUUGUCACCUUCCACGAUUUCAAUGGUCGUGAUGACCUUGGGGAGUGAAGUUUCAUCUGUCCUCUUUAGAGAGUUUUUGCUAGUGGCCGGACAGGAUUUCUAAAGGCAGAACUGACCAUUAUUAUCUGCUUUCUCUUUUCUACAGAAUUAUAUCUGAGAUUUUAGAUUAAGACCCAGAAGUUGAAAGAGAUCCUCACUCAUCUCCUGGUCUCUCUUAGGAUGACUUCCAAAUCUGUCCUGAUAUAUGCUCAUUUUUGUGAGAUUUGGUGGAUCCUCCUGAAAUACAUGUAUGUGGAAGGUGACAAGAGAAGUUGUGAUAAAAAAGGGGCAAUGCCCUAAAAAUUGAGCAAAAGGAUCUUUUUCAGAGAAGAAUCUUCAUGCAUUUGAAGUCUACUCUCUCAUCUCGGUGAGGUCCACACAACACACAUCUCUUAAUACUUCUGACCAGCCCAAGACUUUAACAUAUCUAGAGAAAUCUAACUGACCAGCACUAAAUGUCCAGCACUGUUUGAAUGGCCAAGUCACUAAGCUGGACCAAAUUAUUAAAAGAAGUAUCAACCGAUUCUACCUUUUUCUGAUAGGAAAGUUCCAGUUAUGAAGAGUCUCUUGGGGCCUACAAGGCUACUACCUGCCUUAAAUACCGGCUCCUAAGUAGAAAUUGUGGUUUACUCAAAAAGAUUUCCAUUAAGAAAUUUACUUGCUGUUAUUAAACAAUGGGAUGUUGGGAGCCACAGGGAUUGCUCGUCAACAUGGCCAAAGAGCAGAGGGGUCUAGCUAGCCUAAGGAAAGCUGAAAGCAUCUGAGAGGGUCUAGCUAGCCUAAGGAAAGCUGAAGUCAAACUUUGGUCUGUCGGUGGAUCCAAGAUAUGGAAGUUUGGAUGACACCUUCAGUAUCUUGACUGGUGUGGAUAGGACCAACUAAGGGCAGGUGUGUUUAUGGGAUGUUGGUGCUAUCUCAACAUAAAGAACAUUUGGAAGAAAUUGUCAUGAAAUUAGCAUGCCCCACCCCACAAGAACACGCACUCAAUGGGAAGGGGGAGGAUCCUGAGGCAAGGCAUGCAAAUUACUGGAAGUGGAAGAUGGGUCCAUGUAAUGCAUUCUAAAUAGCCCCCCCCCAAAAAAAAAUACAUCAUAAGCUUGAGAGGGAAGAAUGUCACCUCAGCUACCACAGUUUUAUCUAUAUGCAGAAAAUCUGGGCAAAAUUUUUCUGAUUCACAUAAAAAGGAUGGUAAAACUCUACUUGAAACUUAGGUGUGAAGCCUGACUCUCGUGUGCCAUACCUGACAAUUAAAAAUUCAUUUAAAAUAGAGGGGGGGAAAACCUUUUUUAAAAGUCUGGGUGUCUCAAAUAGGAAAAAAAUAUAUACUUUUUAAUUGUCAUUUUUUUAAAUCUGUAAUUUUUAAAAGAUGGCACUUGGCUACUGUACUAAUAUAGAUCGUUUUAUUUUAGUCUGCCGGCACUGGCCACAAUCUAUACGGCCCUCAUAAACCAUGGAUUUGUAAUUCAAGCACCUUCUCUGAUAGGUUAUUUGCAGUGCAAAUUGUGUGUUGCUUCCAACUGUCUGUCUUUCUUCUGAUUGACAGGGAGUCAGAAUUCAUAGUUUUAAAAUCAAAAAUGAUUUCAAACCAUGGCUUGCGACACUGGUUUGUGUAAACCACAAUGCCACGAUGUUUGGACAAAAUUGCAAAAUGGGAUUAUCAAAAUCAAGAGUUAAAAACCCGCUAGCUGAGAUGCCAUAGGGGAAGGAAGGCAUAGCAUAGCGCUAAAAGUUUAAUGUUUGUUGGAGACUGCACAGACCACCAAAACCUUGUGGCUUAUGGCAAGGAUCUUCCAACUUGGCCCUUUUAUGAUUUGUGGACUUCAACUUCCAGAAUUCCUCAGCCAGGCACGCUGGUUGAGGAAUUCUGGGAGUUAGUCCACAAGUCACAAAAGGGCCAAGUUUGAAGACCCCUGGCUUACGGUGAUACUAGCACCAGUCCAGUUUUUGCCAGCUCACCAAAUAAGUUUUCCACAGCAAAUCUAGCUAGGCUUCGGUUCUUUCAUUCCUUGGGUGCUUCUAAUUUCUUAGAAGUCCUAAGAAAUUUUGGAAGGGUUAGAUCAGUCGACCCUUUGAAGCAGAGGUGGACAAUCUAAGUCCUCCAGAUGCUGGUGGAAAGACGUCUCCAGCCAGCACAGCCAAUAGGAAGACAUGCUAGUAGGCAUCCUUCAAAAACAUCUGACAGUUCCCGAUUGCUCAAGCAUUUUAUGAAUGUCAGUCUCUGGUCUGAUGCCUUUCUUUCUCUUCCUGAAGGCGCCCAGAGCCAUCCCAGUGUGAGUUCGCUCCCUGGCUUCCAUCCAAAACCCAAACUCACAACCCCCCCAGCAAAAUAAGACAAAUACGCAAGCUUUGCCGUAGUGCCAAAGAAAGAAAAAAAGCUCACUGUAUCAAUGAACCCUAACUAGGCUAAAAUAUAUAUUUCAUCCCAAUGGCUUUAAACGCCACGUUUUAAGACAUUUCCUAUGACCAUGGAGAUGGGAGAAAUUGUACGCUUUUUCCGAGGGUGUGUGCGUGGUUGUGUGUGAAAACCUGCAAGACGGAAGUCAAGGCCCUGGUCAAAAAACACAGCCCCUUUUUUUUUUGGCGUAGGCCUGGAAAACACCAGCACAAAAAGAGAACGUUUUCCUUGCAGAUGACCACCCACAUGCUAGGAGACCUCGCUCUUUCUCUCUGCGAUGUAACUUCUACUCAAUUUAUGAAGCUAACGCCCAAAUCGCUCCAUAUCCCGAUUCAUUUGCUUAUUUUACGAGGCCAACUGUAACAGAGGAAAAAUGGAAAUGAACGGCUUGUGGGAUACCGGGUGGGUGUAUUAAAGAAAACAAGACUUAAGGAACACUGGAUUAAACUUCCUUGAGGACUUCACUCGUUUUCGGGGACAAGAACAUUGGAAAACAGGGCCUUUGGUGUGUUUCAAAGUGGCCAUCACAACUUGCCUCAGCCAGGUUUGCGAGGAUGAAAUUCACAAGAUCCUUUGGGAGCCGAAAGAAGCAAGACCGUCAGUGCUGGGAUCUGACUUGGGUUUCGAGAUGAUGAAUCUCUCAAAGUGAGUAACAUCUGUUGGGUAGUCACACCAUUGGCUUUGUGGAGUGGGAAUGAGACACACAGCAUGCUGUGUAUCUCACUGGGGUCCUCCACAUCUAAGAGCACAGAAAGCAGAAGAAGCAAAGAAAGGUCAUCAGAUGGGGGGACAGGGUUUACACUCCCAUUGUAAACAGGGCGUCCACCUCCAUGAAUGUUAGAAGAACACUACUAACUCCAUCAUAUUGUGACCUCUCCUCUCCACGGUCACAACACUGUGGCACACAAUCCAAUGCUGAGACUGCUGCAAUCUGCUAAAAGACAGCAUCCAAGUGGAAACGCCUGGCCUUGCGUAUCCAACCUGGCGCAACUCUGUGAGCUUUCCCAGAAAAACAAGUAAUCCAGGAAGUGGGGAAAAAAUGUGUUACAAAGCAAUCAACUAACACACUAA